RNAcentral lists this ribosomal RNA (524 nucleotides) under Glycymeris glycymeris. RNAcentral's name for it is "partial 16S ribosomal RNA". It matches the Rfam family "Bacterial large subunit ribosomal RNA", at positions 1824 to 2600 of the family's 2925-position model. The record is from RNAcentral. Lineage: Eukaryota; Metazoa; Mollusca; Bivalvia; Arcoida; Glycymerididae.
CGCUUCUAGUGGAGUUAGUUGGAUUGGGAGUCUGACCUGCCCGGUGGAAUAGUUCUAAACGGUGGCCUUAGCGUGAGGGUCUUAAGGUAGCAUAUAAUGUUUCAAUUUAUUGUUGAGUGGGAUGAAUGGAUAAUACGAGAACAUGACUGUCUCUUAGCGUUUUGGUGGAAGUUAACUUGUAGGUGAAAAGGCCUACAUUGUUUAAAAAGACGAUAAGACCCCAUGAAACUUUAGUGUGACUUAUUUUUAAGGUGGGCAUUGAAUGUUUUUAACUUUGAGAGGCAGUGCUCUUUGGCUGGGGCGGUUCAGAGGUGUGAACCCUCUGAAAAGUUGGGUUAACUUGUGGGUGUUGAACCAUUAUAGCGGUUGUGGUAAAUAGAAUAAGUUACUCUGGGGAUAACAGCGUAAUCUUUCCGGAGAGUUCUUAUUGAUGGUAGGGUUUGCGACCUCGAUGUUGAAUGUGGUUAUCCUUAGGCUUGUAGCAGGUUUAAAGGGUUAGACUGUUCGUCUAUUAAAAACCAACC